RNAcentral lists this ribosomal RNA (113 nucleotides) under Microcebus murinus (gray mouse lemur). The record is from RNAcentral. Lineage: Eukaryota; Metazoa; Chordata; Mammalia; Primates; Cheirogaleidae.
GUGUCUGGCCAUGUUACUCUGAAUGUGCCCAAUCUUGUCUGAUCUUGGAAGCUAAGCAGGGUGGGGCCUACUUAGUACUUGGAUGGGAGAAAACUCUCCCUGAAGCAGACAUU